AGUGGCGUUCUCUGCACCCACAAGGGACCUGCUGAUUCCAUCAGGCAGCCUCCUUUUGCAGGCACAAGCCAAAGGUCAAAAUUCCAGUUCAGUGAAAGAAGGUCCUCCUGCCUUCGAGCUCAUGGUGCCAGCCUCUCACAGGGGCCUUCGGUGUGCUCAGAUGGAAAUGAAGGAAGCCAGAAGUGAAGCGACCAGCUCAGGUGAUACAGCUAGAAAGUGCUUUAGAGCUGGGGCCAUGGGCAGAUGAGCUGACCACAGGUCACACUCCUGACACCAAACCUGGCUCUGCGAAGAUGAUGUCGAAGAACUCCUCCUCGGCCUUGCUGACCAGCGCCUCCAGGUCUACGGCCAGCUCCUCAUCGGUCUGCUCCUCAUCCCUGCCCUCCGCCUUACCCUUCUCCUUCAGCCGCAUCUCCCGGUGCCUGGCCUCCAGGAUCUUCUCUCGCCGGGUCUCACGCUCAAACAUCUGGGCACCCAGGGACAGAGAGAGCCCGGUGGGGAGAGGGCAGGAUGGCAAGCGACUCCAGUGCUGGGGCCAGGUGGGGCUUCUGCUGAGCUCUCCUUGCUCUCCAUACAGUCCCUGUACUGUAGAGGUCUGUACCCAGGGCUGGUGUCAAGGAAGGAGGGCUGAAUAUUGGGGUUGGAAGGCUGCAGCAGGGACACUGAGUUACUCAAUGCCAAGGAGCAUGGAGUUCCAGAACCACAGGCAGAAGAGCGCCCUUUGGAGCUAUGAAAUAUGGCGGCUUUGGCCCAACAAGGACCAGCUCAAUGGUAAAAAACUGAAUCCUGGAGAGUGACGUGACUUACUGAAGGCCACUUAGCUACCCAGCAGUUGAGCAAAGGCAAAUGGACACACCAACACCUAUUUAUGGAGCCCACACUGCUUCCCCCAAAAUGUGCACCUAUGUUCUGGGGGUGGGAG
Molecule: long non-coding RNA, 922 nt
Organism: Homo sapiens (human)
Lineage: Eukaryota; Metazoa; Chordata; Mammalia; Primates; Hominidae
Exons: 4
Source: RefSeq, a predicted model, not a curated record